AAAUUCUACGAUGUGGCAUUCUGACAUCAUGUGUAAUCCUAGAAUGUGGAAUUAAGACAUCACACAUGAUGUCACAAUGCCACAUUGUAGAAUUC
RNAcentral lists this microRNA precursor (95 nucleotides) under Xyrichtys novacula (pearly razorfish). Lineage: Eukaryota; Metazoa; Chordata; Actinopteri; Labriformes; Labridae. The record is from RNAcentral.